AUGGAGGAGAACAGUUCUGUCAGCGAGCAUAUACUCAAAAUGUCUGGGUAUAAUAAUCACUUGAUUCAAUUGGGAGUUAAUCUUCCAGAUGAUUGCGUCAUUGACAGAAUUCUCCAAUCACUGCCACCAAGCUACAAGAGCUUCGUGAUGAACUAUAAUAUGCAAGGGAUGAAUAAGACUAUUCCCGAGCUCUUCGCAAUGCUGAAAGCUGCGGAGGUAGAAAUCAAGAAGGAGCAUCAAGUGUUGAUGGUCAACAAGACCACUAGUUCAAGAAAAAGGGCAAAGGGAAGAAGAAGGGGAACUUCAAAAAAAAAACAGCAAGCAAGUUGCUACUCAAGAGAAGAAACCCAAACCUGGACCUAA
This 363-nucleotide ribosomal RNA is filed under the name Triticum aestivum (bread wheat). RNAcentral describes it as "partial small subunit ribosomal RNA". Lineage: Eukaryota; Viridiplantae; Streptophyta; Magnoliopsida; Poales; Poaceae. The record is from RNAcentral.